GACGAACGCUGGCGGCGUGCUUAACACAUGCAAGUCGAACGGAAAGGCCUCUUUCGGGGGUACUCGAGUGGCGAACGGGUGAGUAACACGUGAGUAACCUGCCCUUGACUUUGGGAUAACUUCAGGAAACUGGGGCUAAUACCGGAUAGGAGCUCCUGCUGCAUGGUGGGGGUUGGAAAGUUUCGGCGGUUGGGGAUGGACUCGCGGCUUAUCAGCUUGUUGGUGGGGUAGUGGCUUACCAAGGCUUUGACGGGUAGCCGGCCUGAGAGGGUGACCGGCCACAUUGGGACUGAGAUACGGCCCAGACUCCUACGGGAGGAAGCAGUGGGGAAUAUUGCACAAUGGGUGGAAGCCGGAUGCAGCAACGUCGUGUGCGGGAUGACGGCCUUGGGGUUGUAAACCGCUUUCGCUCAUGACGAAGCUUUGUGUGACGGUAGUGGGUAAAGAAGCACCGGCUAACUACGUG
This 466-nucleotide ribosomal RNA is filed under the name uncultured bacterium. Its description in RNAcentral is "partial 16S ribosomal RNA". It matches the Rfam family "Bacterial small subunit ribosomal RNA", at positions 28 to 507 of the family's 1533-position model. The record is from RNAcentral.